This 1404-nucleotide small RNA is filed under the name Tetranychus urticae (two-spotted spider mite). RNAcentral's name for it is "sRNA tetur13g04956". Lineage: Eukaryota; Metazoa; Arthropoda; Arachnida; Trombidiformes; Tetranychidae. The record is from RNAcentral.
CAUUGCGUGUUGACAUUUUUUUAGCGUGUGACAGCUGAUUUCUUGUCCUUAUUGGAUGACUCUUGUGACUUAACCAACCAUUUUUCAAAGACGAAUGUGAUAAUUUUAGUUUCUUUUUCACAUUUUGAUGGAAAUUAAAAGCUUUAAAAGUCCAGUAAAAUAAUAUAUUUAACGCUCUAAUCGUGGGUAAAAAUAUCCAAAUGCCGAUAACUGAUGUCAAGUGGACGAGGAAAUUUACAAAAGACUCGCCAGGAAAGUAUUUAAUUAUCUUCUCUGUUCCAUGUGGAUAAUUUAUCAAAAUAUGGUAAGAUCCGUUUUCCUUAAAGGGUGAAUUGAUUUGUGUCCCCAACUCUGGUAGAUAAAACAUUUGGGUACAAGGCUGCUGUGGAUAUUUAUUGAAACAAUAGGUUGACAAGAACGAGAGUUCAGGACGAUCAGAGAAACGUGCAUUAUAAUGCUGUGGUAUUAAUUUGAUGUAACGACGAUAACUCCAUUCAUUUUUGACGGCAAGAUGCAACUCUCCAACACAGCUGUGGAUACACCUUAUACGCUGUUUACAAUCUAAUUGAGUAUAAUCGAAGCAAUCAGUUACAUAAGGAUAAGGUUUUGAUUUGAUUUUUAUCCUUUUAAAAGUGAUUGAUGCCUGGUUAUUCUCUGAUGUGUCGAAUUGGAUGAAACUUGGAUUUCCCAUUGCAUUUUCAAGACCCGAAGUCGGAUUAUUGAGAAACACACCAAUCUUGGAUGUUGUCAAGACUGAUUUAUUGAUCGUUAUUUCAACCAGCUGGUUGCCCCAGUGAUGGUAAUUUUGGUAUUUCAGUUUGUUGAAUGAUGAAUCGAAGAUGCGAAAGCAUUUUGAAUAUAAGUUCAAAUAUUCAGAAAUAUUGGGAUCAAGAUGCGUACAGGAAACGGGUUUGUGGAAUCCUGGUACAACAAUCAAGCAAGAAGGCACAAAUUGGUCCCACGUUGGUAGUAGAUCAUUGAUUUGUUUCACUGUUAAUCGAGUGGCGUGAUAAUGAUCUGCUGAUUCUUGUAUAGUUGGUCCAUAUUUAGGAUCAAUAUCGUAAAAGAAACAUACUGAAAUGGAUGGCAAAGUAGCUUUUUUGUAGGUCCUUAUGUCAACUUUGGUAGUCACUCUAAAUGCAAUGUAAUUGGAUAUCACAAUUAUUAAUGAGGAUAUUAAUCCAAAAUAAGUGAAGAAUUGAGAUAAACGAAAUAUCAUGAAUCUCGAACGAUCAUUCGAGUAAGCUGGUUGCUUUUGCCGGUCAACAUUUCGAUGCAAAUUGCGUCGUUUAAAAAAGUCUGGUUUCAAGGUAUAAAUUUUCAUGUUGGAACUGAACAAUCAGAUGAUUACAUUGCAAUGAAAUGAACAAGUGAAAGGAUGAGCUCGCAAAAUGUAACAUUUUU